AUGGGUGGAUGCUCCGCUCCAAAUUGCUCGAACUCUACAACUAUCGGAAAGCAGCUCUUUCGCUUCCCGAAAGACCCCGUGCGCAUGAAAAAGUGGCUUGUAAACUGUCGGCGUGAUUUUGUCCCGACUCCCUGCUCCAGACUGUGCCAGGACCACUUUGAAGAAAGCCAGUUUGAGGAGAUCGCCAGAUCACCAGCAGGGGGAAGGAAACUCAAACCCAACGCGAUCCCCACACUGUUCAAUGUGCCCGAUCCUCCCUCUCCUGUCACCCCUCAACCAGUGCUACCUGUUAAAAAUGAGUCAGUGGAAAAGGACUUGAACAUGGGGGACCAUGGAUAUGCCCGUCGACAGCCGCCUGUGGAUUCAGAGGAGGAUGGGGUUCAGAGGACAGACGAGGAGCGACCCUGUUCUCUCUGCCAGCAUUAUAAAACCAAACUGGAGCAGCAACAGCAACACACAGUCAGACUACAGAGAGAGGCAGAGGAGAUGAAGAAACGUCUUUACAAACUGAGUAAAAUAGAGAAGGGGCUACAGGUGUUCCUGUUUGAGGAUCAGAUACGCGCCCUUACGUUGGCCAAGCGUUCUCGGAGAGCCGUGUGGUCCCAUGAUACUUUACUGACAGCCCGUAAAAUCCGCUGCGCAGUGGGGGUUAAAGGAUAUGAGUACCUAAGGGAACUGGGCUACCCUUUACCUUCUUACAGGACGCUUUGCAAUCGGCUGGAGCCCAAAAUGAUGGUGACCACGAGUAUGCAGGACGAACUGGCAGAGCUCGGCCUGGGCAUCAUAACAGCGUGUGACAGUCCGGAGGGCAACGUGACGAGUGAUGAACGACUGAUUGGAGUCAUGACCUGAGACGCUGGGUUUGUAGGAGACCGCGCCGAUGCUUGACUGUUAAAUCAGCCGAAGGCGGGACUCGCAGAAGAUGUUUGUUUACGGGGUUAAGUUACGUUGGCUUGUUGUCAUUGCAUUUUGAAACCAUUUGCAUAAAUACCACAACAGUCUGGAGAUGAUUCACUAACUAGUGUGUGUUUUCUUUAACAAAUGAACUAUUUUGGACGUGCUGCAUCUGCCUGUGUAGUUGGAAUCCCUUAAAUGUUACCUAUCUUAAGGAAAUUGAGGUAAACUGAAAUUUCAGCUGUUCGCAGAAUCAUAACAAUGUACCCUGAAAACCAAAUGUUAUCACUCUAAACUUGAUUUUUGCUACCGAGACAAAGAUAUUCAAAUGUUUUUGCUUGUUUCUGUGAGAGGAAGCUGACAAACAAGACUUCUGUCACUUCUUAUAAAGUGGUAUAUUGCUGUUUUAAAGUGAUGUAAAUCUGGUGUACGAGUUUAGUAGCCCAAAAGAUAGCACAUAUUUAUAGAGCCACCACAGAUGAUUCAUGCAGUUGCCAAACGGAAGGGAACUGUUCUGAAUAAUACACUUCUGUCUUUCUGCAAACCAGAGUUUCUGGUUUUUGUGUUCAUGUUUGCCACCCGUCUGUACAGUUUUAUUUCAACAGCUCUCUGAUGGAUCCAUGUCAACUGUUUGUCUUGAAGGCAUAGUUCGCCCAAAAAUAAACUUUUUUUUUUUUAUUCACCCACAUGUUGUUCAAAGACUGUUGGAUUUACUUUCUUCUGUGGAACACAUAAGAUUGUUGGUAACCAACAGUUUUUGUUGUCUUUAACAUUUUUUUAUGGAAGUGUUUACAAAAACAUUUAAAAAAAACAUUAUUACGGCUAUUUGAGGAACAUUUAGUGUUAAACAAGUUUAAUUAAAUGAGACCAGUUUUAUUAAAAGAGGAAAAACACUGAAUGUUUCGUGCUCGUGGGACCCGUCCACUUAUGUGUUGGCGCUCGUGUCUGUACUGAAGGUUGUUUGUUACUCCAUUGAUUAAAGAGUGUACUUUGGCCCAGUCAUUUCAAGGGUAAAACACUGUUGGUUGCAAAACUAAAAUCAAUUCCUCUGCCCGUGGGAUAGUGUAAGAUCUUACAAGAAUGUUUCAUCAAGAGUAAAUCUCAGAUUACCUUUGGUGUAUUAAGAGCCAACCCAGAAAAAAAUUACUUUAUUUUCACAUUUAUUUAGCAUGUGUGCACAUCUGAGACCCUUGGUCAUGUGGAUGUUAAGGGGAAAAUAAUGAACUGACAACUAGUCACAUGGAUUUUAAUAUCUAUGAUGAAUUACUUGUAAUAAUACUAUGUAUUAGCUAUACAGUAUUUGGAAAACACUGGUCACUGAAUCCAUUGCAUCAUCUCCACUGGAAAGUCAAUUUACCCAUGCACUUGUUUUUCACGUGAUGUGAUCACUGAAUGAUUAGCUCAAGCAAACAGUAACGAAAACUGCCAGGGAGAAAGAAAACCAAAUACAACUUUAAUGAACUUCCAUCAAUUUAUGGUUAAAUCUUUUUCCAAAUGUCACCUCAACUAUCCAGAAGGUCAAUCAAAGCAUUGCAGCAGUGUUAAAACAGCAUUUUGACACUUUAGAUGUAGAUUUAAAACAUAUCUAAUCCAAUAAUGUUUAUUGCAUUCUUUACUUCAUGCUAUAACUGUAUAUUAAUAAUUUGUAUAUUAAGUGAGCUGAUUUAAUGGUAAUACCCCAUGGCAAGGUAUGACAAAAUUAGUUUUAAAAAAUCUUGUUCAGUUUGUUAUCAGUCAGUGUGUUUAUCUUGUAUUCAUAUUUAUCUUGGACCACUUUGUAGUCCACCAGUCCCCGAUCCUAUCUUUUACUGGUUUGUUCUGUUUGUUUAGGGGGAGGUUUGUCCAGAUUGAGGCCUUUAAAAAUGCGGACCAGACAACUUACCCUAAUUUUCUUUAUUUCUGACCCAGAGGAGGCCAAGGGGCACAGCUUGAG
Molecule: long non-coding RNA, 2827 nt
Filed under: Carassius auratus (goldfish)
Lineage: Eukaryota; Metazoa; Chordata; Actinopteri; Cypriniformes; Cyprinidae
Description: lncRNA (ENSCARG00000020187.1)
Source: RNAcentral